Microcebus murinus (gray mouse lemur) is the source of this 788-nucleotide non-coding RNA. The record is from RefSeq and is a predicted model, not a curated record. Lineage: Eukaryota; Metazoa; Chordata; Mammalia; Primates; Cheirogaleidae.
AAUAAGCCCUAGGGUGUCUUCUUGAGGAAAAAUAAAUAUGAGACCCUGUCUUAUCAUCGGGGAAACACGGUAGUGUGCUAGUGUGCUCAGCAAUUACAUACACUACUUUAUUUAACCAUAACUAAAACCCUAUGAGAUUAGUUUUAUUAUCCCCAUUUUACAGAUGAGGCAGCAAGCCCAAAGCUCUAUUGCUAGCAAGUAGUAGAGCCAGGAUUUAAGACUAAGUGUACCUGACUCCAAAGCUGUUUUUUGUUUUUUUCUUUAAAAACAUUUUGUUUCCUUUAUUUCUACUGUGACACCUGAAGGACUUGCCAUUUUUUUGAGCCACAUAGUGCUAUCUAGGUAGUUACAGCCUCUGCUAACUUAGAGCUUAUGUUUUAGAUAAUCAAAUGAACAAUUAUUUAUUGUGAGGAGGGAUUAUUUCAUUCCUUUAUUAGAAUACACAACACAAUUAUAACUGCAUUUAACUUUUGUAUUUUUUGUUGCUGUUAUUUUAGCUUUUAUGUGUCAUUGCUGUUGUUAUGCUAACUAUGGAGUCAUCCCAAAUUACUUUUAAAUUUGUUGUUUAUCUUCUGUGGCCUGCCUACGAGGCAUUCUACAUACAGUACAAUUCUUAGUGCGAAACAAAUUCAGAGUUUAAAGCCUUCACAAAGCAACUAAGUCAUAUAUUGUGGAUUGGAACUCUGGCCCAUCUUAUACCAAGCUCCUUUUUACUGGCAAAGUCCAGAGUUUACUUUUGAAAAAAACAUGGAAAAUAGUGUUUCAUUAAAUCUAAACUGUAAGCUUUA